GUUAACGUAGCUUAACUACAAAGCGUGGCACUGAAAAUGCCAAGAUUGGACCCUAAAAAGCCCCGAUGACA
RNAcentral lists this transfer RNA (71 nucleotides) under Leptocephalus sp. 'type II larva'. RNAcentral describes it as "tRNA-Phe". It matches the Rfam family "tRNA". Rfam says of the family: Transfer RNA (tRNA) molecules are approximately 80 nucleotides in length. Lineage: Eukaryota; Metazoa; Chordata; Actinopteri; Anguilliformes; Nettastomatidae. The record is from RNAcentral.